RNAcentral lists this ribosomal RNA (1503 nucleotides) under Triticum aestivum (bread wheat). Its description in RNAcentral is "partial small subunit ribosomal RNA". Lineage: Eukaryota; Viridiplantae; Streptophyta; Magnoliopsida; Poales; Poaceae. The record is from RNAcentral.
AUGGAGGUGGCGUCGCUGUACCGGCGGGUGCUGCCGUCGCCGCCGGCGGUGGAGUUCGCGUCGGCGGAGGGGAAGCGGCUGUUCGCGGAGGCGCUGCAGGGCGGCACCAUGGAGGGCUUCUUCAACCUCAUCUCCUACUUCCAGACGCAGUCGGAGCCGGCCUUCUGCGGCCUCGCCUCCCUCUCCGUCGUGCUCAACGCGCUGGCCAUCGACCCCGGCCGGCCGUGGAAGGGGCCCUGGCGCUGGUUCGACGAGUCCAUGCUCGACUGCUGCGAGCCCCUCCACAAGGUCAAGGCCGAGGGCAUCACCUUCGGCAAGGUCGUCUGCCUCGCGCACUGCGCCGGCGCCCGGGUCCAGUCCUUCCGCGCCGACCAGACCACCAUCCACGACUUCCGCGCCCACCUCACGCGCUGCGCCUCCUCCCAGGACUGCCACCUCAUCUCCUCCUACCACAGGAGCCCCUUCAAGCAGACUGGGACUGGCCAUUUCUCACCGAUCGGCGGGUAUCACGCCGAAAAGGACAUGGCGCUCAUCUUGGAUGUCGCGCGCUUCAAAUACCCUCCUCAUUGGGUUCCAUUGACGCUUCUCUGGGAUGCCAUGAACACGACUGAUGAAGCAACAGGGCUUCUCAGGGGGUUCAUGCUUGUAUCAAGGCGCAGUUCAGCUCCUUCAUUGCUCUACACAGUGAGUUGCGGCCAUGGAAGUUGGAAAAGCAUGGCAAAGUAUUGUGUGGAAGAUGUACCCAAUCUACUGAAGGAUGAGAAUCUAGACAAUGUUACAACACUUCUGUCCCGCCUAGUGGAAUCUCUCCCAGCUAAUGCUGGAGAUUUGAUCAAAUGUGUCAUUGAAGUUAGGAGAAAAGAGGAAGGUGAAUCAAGCUUGAGCAAAGAGGAGAAAGAAAGGCUUUUUUUGAAGGAAAAAGUAUUACAGCAAAUCCGUGAUACUGAUCUUUUCAGAGUAGUCCACGAACUGCAAUAUCCCAAGGGGCUAUGUGGUAGUUGCUCAUCUUCAAGUGAUGAAGAUUCGCUUGCCGAGAUUGCAGCCACUGUGUGCUGCCAAGGAGCUGCAUUCCUAUCUGGUAACCUUGUAUCUAGAGAUGGGUUCUGCUGCCGAGAAACAUGUAUCAAAUGUAUAGAAGCAAAUGGUGAUGGACUAAAGACUGUUAUCUCAGGAACCGUGGUAUCUAAAGGGAAUGAACAGGGUGUUGAUUUGCUUUUACCAACAUCCUCAUCAAAAACAAGCUUAUGCAAUUCAAACUUGAGGAGCAAGAUUGUCAAGUAUCCAUCAAGCACAGAUGUUCUAACUGUCCUACUGCUGGUUUUACAGCCUAACACAUGGCUUGGCAUAAAAGAUGAGAACGUGAAAGCUGAAUUUCAGAGUCUUGUUUCAACAGACAAUCUUCCUGAUCUUCUUAAACAGGAGAUACUGCAUCUAAGGCGGCAGCUCCAUUAUUUGGCUGGUUGUAAAGGACAGGAGGCAUGUCAAGAGCCUCCAUCCCCUUAG